AGAGUCUGAAUUUCGUGAUCAGCCAUGAGUUCAUCUGAUGAGGAAUCCCUGGAGAAGCUGAGUGUGUAUUUCAGCACGUCAGAAUGGUCUCAGCUGUCAUUUUGGGAAAAGAAGAGGUACAAGAGGAUGAAAAGAAACUACCUCUUCAUGCAAUCCAUAGGUCUGUCGUCUCAAGCUCCAGAGUUCAUGAGGAAGAGGGGCGGGACUAAAAGACAGAGGGUCACGCCCCCACCA
Molecule: long non-coding RNA, 234 nt
Organism: Engraulis encrasicolus (European anchovy)
Lineage: Eukaryota; Metazoa; Chordata; Actinopteri; Clupeiformes; Engraulidae
Exons: 3
Source: RefSeq, a predicted model, not a curated record